This 1145-nucleotide long non-coding RNA is filed under the name Suricata suricatta (meerkat). RNAcentral's name for it is "lncRNA (ENSSSUG00005023781.1)". The record is from RNAcentral. Lineage: Eukaryota; Metazoa; Chordata; Mammalia; Carnivora; Herpestidae.
AUGGACGGCUCUUCAGCAACGGCCUCUGCCUGUGCGUCCUGGGAGGGACAGUCCUGGAAAAGGAAAGAGGCAGCUACAACCCUGCGGCUCGGCUGGGUGGCAGGGAUGCUUCCGGCCCAUGAAGCCUGCUCACUUGAGAAUGCCCACGAGGGAUCAGCGACAGCCCCUGUCACAUGCAGCCGCCGAGUUCUCUGGAAAACCAUGGAGGAGGCGGAUCGCUCCAAAACCAGGGCUGGUCCAUGCUGCUGCCCAGCAGAACGUAUCACCGAACAGCAGCUAAAACGUCUGGCAGACCCGACACCAUGGGUAGAAGGAAGAAAAGUAGAGGCCCCAUUCGGAGCGUACCUCCUCCAAGAAUUCGGGAGAUUUCUCAUUUGUCUCCCUGUCAAGGACCGUUUCGCAAUUCAGAGUAGCUGUUUUUCUUUUAUGAGCUGUCUUCAGUGUUUACCAAACGGCUGUGCAUGUUUUGGUCUAUUCCUGUAGUUUGAUUCUGUUCUUUUAGUAAUCUGUGCUUUCAAGUAUCACUACCAGACUGGUUUUUCCCCCCAAAUGUUUAUUCAUUUUUGAGAGAGAGAGCGAGUAGGGGGGAGGGGCAGAGAAGGGGAGAGAGGAUCUGAAGUAGGCUCUGUGCUGACAGCAGAGAGCCCCAUGCGGGGCUUGAACUCACAAACUGCGAGUUCAUGACCUGAGCUGAAGUCUAUGCUCUACCGACUGAGCCCCCCAGGUACUCCCCUACCAUCCUGUUUUAAUUAUUGAGGGUUUGUAAUGCAUUUUAAGAUCUGGUCAAACGCUCUUACUGUGCUGCCUUUUUUUCAGAAUGGGAGAAAAAAGUUUAAUCCAAGUCACAAGUUUCUCUAAUCUAGAUUUCCUCUUUCAUGUCCAUGGUUUGCAAAGUCCUUCCCUCCUUGCCCCUGGUCCCUAUUCUCAUUUCUUCAUCUUCGGCAAAACUUUCUUUCAAAUUAAAUCUCGUAAGUAGAUGAAGUGGUGGAGUGGGGGUGGGGCCCUGCAAGCACUGCCACAGAAACAUAUAUUUUGAAGAAGGGUCUAAAAAUCACUGAUUUCUGUACUUACACUGCAUGAUCGUCUGCCAAAAAUGGCAAGCAGUUCUACUGAACAACUGUAAUUAGUAUCGUUUUUGUAUUGAC